GAUGAAGAACGCAGCGAAAUGCGAUAACUAAUGUGAAUUGCAGAAUUCCGUGAAUCAUCGAGUCUUUGAACGCACAUUGCGCCCCCUGGUAUUCCGGGGGGCAUGCCUGUCCGAGCGUCAUUGCUGCCCAUCAAGCACGGCUUGUGUGUUGGGUCCUCGUCCCCCCCGGGGGACGUGCCCGAAAGGCAGCGGCGGCACCGCGUCCGGUCCUCGAGCGUAUGGGGCUUUGUCACCCGCUCUGCAGGCCGGGCCGGCGCUGGCCGACGCGAAAGCAAACAUUUUUUCUCCAGGUUGACCUCGGAUCAGGUAGGGAUACCCGCUGAACUUAAGCAUAUCAAUAAGCGGAGGA
This 349-nucleotide unclassified non-coding RNA is filed under the name soil metagenome. Its description in RNAcentral is "partial contains 5.8S ribosomal RNA, internal transcribed spacer 2, and large subunit ribosomal RNA". The stretch from base 1 to 120 matches the Rfam family "5.8S ribosomal RNA", at positions 35 to 154 of the family's 154-position model. The record is from RNAcentral.